CCUACGGGUGGCAGCAGUGAGGAAUAUUGGUCAAUGGACGAGAGUCUGAACCAGCCAAGUAGCGUGAAGGAUGACUGCCCUAUGGGUUGUAAACUUCUUUUAUCUGGGAAUAAAACGUUCCACGUGUGGGAUUUUGUAUGUACCAUAUGAAAAAGCAUCGGCUAACUCCGUGCCAGCAGCCGCGGUAAUACGGAGGAUCCGAGCGUUAUCCGGAUUUAUUGGGUUUAAAGGGAGCGUAGGUGGAUUGUUAAGUCAGCUGUGAAAGUUUGCGGCUCAACCGUAAAAUUGCAGUUGAAACUGGCAGUCUUGAGUACAGUAGAAGUGGGCGGAAUGCGUGGUGUAGCGGUGAAAUGCUUAGAUAUCACGAAGAACUCCGAUUGCGAAGGCAGUUCACUGGACUGCAACUGACACUGAGGCUCGAAAGUGUGGGUAUCAAACAGGAUUAGAUACCCUUGUAGUC
Molecule: ribosomal RNA, 460 nt
Filed under: uncultured bacterium
Lineage: Bacteria
Description: partial 16S ribosomal RNA
Rfam family: Bacterial small subunit ribosomal RNA
Source: RNAcentral